Molecule: ribosomal RNA, 520 nt
Filed under: uncultured bacterium
Lineage: Bacteria
Description: partial 16S ribosomal RNA
Rfam family: Bacterial small subunit ribosomal RNA
Source: RNAcentral
AACGAACGCUGGCGGCGCGCCUAACACAUGCAAGUCGAACGCGAAAGUGUAGCAAUACAUGAGUAAAGUGGCGCACGGGUGAGUAACACGUAGGUAAUCUAGCUUAGUGACCGGGAUACUAGCCGAAAGGUUAGCUAAUACUGGAUAGAGCACAGGGCCUGUAAAGGGUUUUGUGGGAAAGGGAGGCAGUAGUAAUACUGCUUUAGCACUGAGAUGAGCCUGCGUCUCAUUAGCUAGUUGGUAGGGUAACGGCCUACCAAGGCAAUGAUGGGUAGCCGGUCUAGGAGGACGAUCAGCCACACUGGAACUGAAACACGGUCCAGACUCCUACGGGAGGCAGCAGUGGGGAAUCUUGCGCAAUGGACGAAAGUCUGACGCAGCGACGCCGCGUGGGUGAAGAAGGCCUUCGGGUUGUAAAGCCCUGUCGAGUGGGAAAAACGAUUUGUAGAAUAAUAAGCUACAGGAGUGAUGGUACCACUAGAGGAAGCACCGGCUAACUCCGUGCCAGCCGCCGCGGUAA